AGCGAACGCUGGCGGUAGGCCUAACACAUGCAAGUCGAACGGCAGCACAGUAAGAGCUUGCUCUUACGGGUGGCGAGUGGCGGACGGGUGAGGAAUACAUCGGAAUCUACUUUUUCGUGGGGGAUAACGUAGGGAAACUUACGCUAAUACCGCAUACGACCUACGGGUGAAAGCAGGGGAUCUUCGGACCUUGCGCGAUUGAAUGAGCCGAUGUCGGAUUAGCUAGUUGGCGGGGUAAAGGCCCACCAAGGCGACGAUCCGUAGCUGGUCUGAGAGGAUGAUCAGCCACACUGGAACUGAGACACGGUCCAGACUCCUACGGGAGGCAGCAGGGGGGAAUAUUGGACAAUGGGCGCAAGCCUGAUCCAGCCAUACCGCGUGGGUGAAGAAGGCCUUCGGGUUGUAAAGCCCUUUUGUUGGGAAAGAAAAGCAGCAGGUUAAUACCCCGCUGUUCUGACGGUACCCAAAGAAUAAGCACCGGCUAACUUCGU
This 491-nucleotide ribosomal RNA is filed under the name uncultured bacterium. Its description in RNAcentral is "partial 16S ribosomal RNA". It matches the Rfam family "Bacterial small subunit ribosomal RNA", at positions 29 to 506 of the family's 1533-position model. The record is from RNAcentral.